Molecule: ribosomal RNA, 460 nt
Filed under: uncultured bacterium
Lineage: Bacteria
Description: partial 16S ribosomal RNA
Rfam family: Bacterial small subunit ribosomal RNA
Source: RNAcentral
CCUACGGGUGGCAGCAGUGAGGAAUAUUGGUCAAUGGACGCAAGUCUGAACCAGCCAUGCCGCGUGCAGGAAGACGGCUCUAUGAGUUGUAAACUGCUUUUGUACGAGGGUAAACUCAGAUACGCGUAUCUUUCUGAACGUACCGUACGAAUAAGGAUCGGCUAACUCCGUGCCAGCAGCCGCGGUAAUACGGAGGAUUCAAGCGUUAUCCGGGUUUAUUGGGUUUAAAGGGUGCGUAGGCGGUCGGAUAAGUUAGAGGUGAAAUCCCGGGGCUCAACUUCGGAAUUGCCUCUGAUACUGUUCGGCUAGAGAGUAGUUGCGGUAGGCGGAAUGUAUGGUGUAGCGGUGAAAUGCUUAGAGAUCAUACAGAACACCGAUUGCGAAGGCAGCUUACCAAGCUACUUCUGACGUUGAGGCACGAAAGCGUGGGGAGCAAACAGGAUUAGAUACCCCAGUAGUC